GUUGGGUUAGCUCAGUGGUAGAGCACUUGCCUAGGAAGCACAAAGGCCCUGGGUUCGGUCCCCAGCUCCGAAA
Rattus norvegicus (Norway rat) is the source of this 73-nucleotide non-coding RNA. The record is from Rfam. Lineage: Eukaryota; Metazoa; Chordata; Mammalia; Rodentia; Muridae.